This 253-nucleotide ribosomal RNA is filed under the name uncultured bacterium. RNAcentral's name for it is "partial 16S ribosomal RNA". It matches the Rfam family "Bacterial small subunit ribosomal RNA", at positions 524 to 776 of the family's 1533-position model. The record is from RNAcentral.
UACGUAGGGUGCGAGCGUUAAUCGGAAUUACUGGGCGUAAAGCGUGCGCAGGCGGCUUCGCAAGUCAGACGUGAAAUCCCCGGGCUUAACCUGGGAAUGGCGUUUGAAACUAGGGAGCUGGAGUGUGGCAGAGGGAGGUAGAAUUCCACGUGUAGCGGUGAAAUGCGUAGAUAUGUGGAGGAAUACCGAUGGCGAAGGCAGCCUCCUGGGCCAACACUGACGCUGAGGCGCGAAAGCGUGGGGAGCAAACAGG